GGGAUAACUCCGGGAAACCGGGGCUAAUACCGAAUAAUAUCGAAGAUUUCAUGAUCUUCUUUUGAAAGAUGGUUUCGGCUGUCACUGUAGGAUGGGCCCGCGGCGCAUUAGCUAGUUGGUGAGGUAACGGCUCACCAAGGCAACGAUGCGUAGCCGACCUGAGAGGGUGAUCGGCCACACUGGGACUGAGACACGGCCCAGACUCCUACGGGAGGCAGCAGUAGGGAAUCUUCCGCAAUGGACGAAAGUCUGACGGAGCAACGCCGCGUGAGUGAUGAAGGUUUUCGGAUCGUAAAACUCUGUUGUCAGGGAAGAACACGUACGGGAGUAACUGUCCGUACCUUGACGGUACCUGACCAGAAAGCCACGGCUAACUACGUGCCAGCAGCCGCGGUAAUACGUAGGUGGCAAGCGUUGUCCGGAAUUAUUGGGCGUAAAGCGCGCGCAGGCGGUCUUUUAAGUCUGAUGUGAAAGCCCACGGCUCAACCGUGGAAGGUCAU
RNAcentral lists this ribosomal RNA (500 nucleotides) under Bacillus sp. R2A-JUNE-E-7. Its description in RNAcentral is "bacterial SSU rRNA". It matches the Rfam family "Bacterial small subunit ribosomal RNA", at positions 140 to 626 of the family's 1533-position model. Lineage: Bacteria; Bacillati; Bacillota; Bacilli; Caryophanales; Bacillaceae. The record is from RNAcentral.